This 492-nucleotide ribosomal RNA is filed under the name uncultured bacterium. RNAcentral describes it as "partial 16S ribosomal RNA". It matches the Rfam family "Bacterial small subunit ribosomal RNA", at positions 29 to 507 of the family's 1533-position model. The record is from RNAcentral.
AGUGAACGCUGGCGGUAGGCCUAACACAUGCAAGUCGAACGGCAGCACAGUAAGAGCUUGCUCUUACGGGUGGCGAGUGGCGGACGGGUGAGGAAUACAUCGGAAUCUACUUUUUCGUGGGGGAUAACGUAGGGAAACUUACGCUAAUACCGCAUACGACCUACGGGUGAAAGCAGGGGAUCUUCGGACUUUGCGCGAUUGAAUGAGCCGAUGUCGGAGUAGCUAGUUGGCGGGGUAAAGGCCCACCAAGGCGACGAUCCGUAGCUGGUCUGAGAGGAUGAUCAGCCACACUGGAACUGAGACACGGUCCAGACUCCUACGGGAGGCAGCAGUGGGGAAUAUUGGACAAUGGGCGCAAGCCUGAUCCAGCCAUACCGCGUGGGUGAAGAAGGCCUUCGGGUUGUAAAGCCCUUUUGUUGGGAAAGAAAAGCAGCAGGUUAAUACCCCGCUGUUCUGACGGUACCCAAAGAAUAAGCACCGGCUAACUUCGUG